Molecule: ribosomal RNA, 448 nt
Filed under: uncultured bacterium
Lineage: Bacteria
Description: partial 16S ribosomal RNA
Rfam family: Bacterial small subunit ribosomal RNA
Source: RNAcentral
CCCAGACUCCUACGGGAGGCAGCAGUGGGGAAUAUUGCACAAUGGGGGAAACCCUGAUGCAGCGACGCCGCGUGAAGGAAGAAGUAUUUCGGUAUGUAAACUUCUAUCAGCAGGGAAGAAAAUGACGGUACCUGACUAAGAAGCCCCGGCUAACUACGUGCCAGCAGCCGCGGUAAUACGUAGGGGGCAAGCGUUAUCCGGAUUUACUGGGUGUAAAGGGAGCGUAGGCGGUUUAGCAAGUCAGAAGUGAAAGCCCGGGGCUCAACUCCGGGACUGCUUUUGGAACUGCGCGGCUGGAGUGCAGGAGGGGCAGGCGGAAUUCCUGGUGUAGCGGUGAAAUGCGUAGAUAUCAGGAGGAACACCGGUGGCGAAGGCGGCCUGCUGGACUGCGACUGACGUUGAGGCCCGAAAGCGUGGGGAGCAAACAGGAUUAGAUACCCCAGUAAAU